CCAGGUCAACCCUGCUUUAUCAAAAGCAGUGUGAAGUUGCGUACCCGUGCCGCAAGACACCGGGUCCUGCCUGGAUAGGUUCUGACCUAGCCUUGUAGAUCAUGACAGUGUGAAAGGUGCUCAAUGGGCUAGGAUGCAAGAUGGUGAUCAAAGUGAGAGUUCUUGCAGCUCCAUAUGCUGAAAAAAGCUAAAUUCAGGGUCUUUGAUAUGGAUUCUCCAGUGAUCAAGUACGGGUCAACAAAGCUGUGCUUUGGUAUCCAUGGAGAUCCUUGCAGAGAAGGAGCAGAUUGUUCCAAAAGUGGAGGUUGUGCAGAAGAAAAAAACUAAGUAGUGGGAUUGGACACAGGGAUACUGGUGAGAGAAGUGUGCAGAGUUCCUGCUCCACCCAUUGGAGAAAGCAGAGAGCAACUUUGACCUCAAGGGUCUUGAUAUGGAUUCUCCAGUGAUCAAGUACGGGUCAACAAAGCUGUGUUUUAAUACCCAUGGAGAUCCUCCAGAGAAGGACCAGAUUGUUCCAAAAGAAGUAGAGGUUGCUCAGAGGUUUCCAGGAUGAUUGGUUCAGGGGAAUAAAACAAAUACAGUGCAUAAAAUAAAAAC
Molecule: long non-coding RNA, 597 nt
Organism: Polyodon spathula (Mississippi paddlefish)
Lineage: Eukaryota; Metazoa; Chordata; Actinopteri; Acipenseriformes; Polyodontidae
Exons: 6
Source: RefSeq, a predicted model, not a curated record